GUGUCAGCCGCCGCGGUAAGACAGAGGGUGCAAACGUUGUUCGGAAUUACUGGGCGUAAAGCGCGUGUAGGCAGCUUGGCAAGUCGGGUGUGAAAGCCCUGGGCUCAACCUAGGAAGUGCACUCGAAACUGCUUCGCUUGAGUAUCGGAGAGGAAAGCGGAAUUCUCGGUGUAGAGGUGAAAUUCGUAGAUAUCGAGAGGAACACCAGUGGCGAAGGCGGCUUUCUGGACGAUCACUGACGCUGAGACGCGAAAGCGUGGGGAGCAAACAGGAUUAGAUACCCCUGUAGUCC
Molecule: ribosomal RNA, 292 nt
Filed under: uncultured bacterium
Lineage: Bacteria
Description: partial 16S ribosomal RNA
Rfam family: Bacterial small subunit ribosomal RNA
Source: RNAcentral